GCUGACAUAGCUCAGUUGGCUAGAGCAGUUGAUUUGUAAUCAACAGGCCCGGGGUUCAAAUCCUCGUGUCAGCACCA
RNAcentral lists this transfer RNA (77 nucleotides) under Sulfurimonas sp. RNAcentral's name for it is "tRNA-Thr". It matches the Rfam family "tRNA". From Rfam's summary of the family: Transfer RNA (tRNA) molecules are approximately 80 nucleotides in length. Their secondary structure includes four short double-helical elements and three loops (D, anti-codon, and T loops). RNAcentral also lists the same sequence under 4 other names. Lineage: Bacteria; Pseudomonadati; Campylobacterota; Epsilonproteobacteria; Campylobacterales; Sulfurimonadaceae. The record is from RNAcentral.